Molecule: ribosomal RNA, 376 nt
Filed under: uncultured bacterium
Lineage: Bacteria
Description: bacterial SSU rRNA
Rfam family: Bacterial small subunit ribosomal RNA
Source: RNAcentral
ACGAACGCUGGCGGCGUGCUUAACACAUGCAAGUCGAGCGGUAAGGCCCCUUCGGGGGUACACGAGCGGCGAACGGGUGAGUAACACGUGGGUGACCUGCCCUCAGCUCUGGGAUAAGCCUGGGAAACUGGGUCUAAUACCGGAUAUGACUCCAUGACGCAUGUCGUGGGGUGGAAAGCCUUGUGCGGCUGGGGAUGGGCCCGCGGCCUAUCAGCUUGUUGGUGGGGUGAUGGCCACCAAGGCGACGACGGGUAGCCGGCCUGAGAGGGCGACCGGCCACACUGGGACUGAGACACGGCCCAGACUCCGUACGGGAGGCAGCAGGUGGGGAAUCGUUGCGCAAUGGGCGAAAGCCUGACGCAGCGACGCCGCGUGA